UGGAUCCAGACUUUGAUUAUGGCUCAGGAUGAACGCUAGCUACAGGCUUAACACAUGCAAGUCGAGGGGCAGCAUGAUUGAAGCUUGCUUCAAUUGAUGGCGACCGGCGCACGGGUGAGUAACACGUAUCCAACCUUCCGUACACUCAGGGAUAGCCUUUCGAAAGAAAGAUUAAUACCUGAUGGUAUCUUAAGCACACAUGUAAUUAAGAUUAAAGAUUUAUCGGUGUACGAUGGGGAUGCGUUCCAUUAGGUAGUAGGCGGGGUAACGGCCCACCUAGCCUACGAUGGAUAGGGGUUCUGAGAGGAAGGUCCCCCACAUUGGAACUGAGACACGGUCCAAACUCCUACGGGAGGCAGCAGUGAGGAAUAUUGGUCAAUGGACGAGAGUCUGAACCAGCCAAGUAGCGUGAAGGAUGAAGGUCCUACGGAUUGUAAACUUCUUUUAUAAGGGAAUAAAACCUCCCACGUGUGGGAGCUUGUAUGUACCUUAUGAAUAAGCAUCGGCUAACUCCGUGCCAGCAGCCGCGGUAAUACGGAGGAUGCGAGCGUUAUCCGGAUUUAUUGGGUUUAAAGGGAGCGCAGACGGGUCGUUAAGUCAGCUGUGAAAGUUUGGGGCUCAACCUUAAAAUUGCAGUUGAUACUGGCGUCCUUGAGUGCGGUUGAGGUGUGCGGAAUUCGUGGUGUAGCGGUGAAAUGCUUAGAUAUCACGAAGAACUCCGAUUGCGAAGGCAGUACACUAAGCCGUAACUGACGUUCAUGCUCGAAAGUGUGGGUAUCAAACAGGAUUAGAUACCCUGGUAGUCCACACGGUAAACGAUGGAUACUCGCUGUUGGCGAUAUACGGUCAGCGGCUUAGCGAAAGCGUUAAGUAUCCCACCUGGGGAGUACGCCGGCAACGGUGCAACUCAAAUGAAUUGACGGA
RNAcentral lists this ribosomal RNA (924 nucleotides) under uncultured bacterium. Its description in RNAcentral is "bacterial SSU rRNA". It matches the Rfam family "Bacterial small subunit ribosomal RNA", at positions 1 to 917 of the family's 1533-position model. RNAcentral also lists the same sequence under 1 other name. The record is from RNAcentral.